Molecule: ribosomal RNA, 1458 nt
Filed under: uncultured bacterium
Lineage: Bacteria
Description: bacterial SSU rRNA
Rfam family: Bacterial small subunit ribosomal RNA
Source: RNAcentral
AAUCAACGCUGGCGGCGUGCCUAACACAUGCAAGUCGAACGAGAAAGUGGAGCAAUCCAUGAGUAAAGUGGCGACCGGGUGAGUAACACGUGACUAACCUACCCUGAAGUGGGGAAUAACCUCGGGAAACCGGGGCUAAUACCGCAUAACAUCGCGAGCUGUAAACGCUUGUGAUCAAAGGAGCAAUUCGCUUUAGGAGGGGGUCGCGGCUGAUUAGUUAGUUGGUGAGGUAACGGCUCACCAAGACAAAGAUCAGUAUCCGGCCUGAGAGGGCGCACGGACACACUGGAACUGAAACACGGUCCAGACUCCUACGGGAGGCAGCAGUGGGGAAUUUUGCGCAAUGGGGGAAACCCUGACGCAGCAACGCCGCGUGGAGGAUGAAGUCCCUUGGGACGUAAACUCCUUUCGACCGGGAAGAUACUGACGGUACCGGAUGAAGAAGCACCGGCUAACUCUGUGCCAGCAGCCGCGGUAAUACAGAGGGUGCGAGCGUUGUUCGGAAUUAUUGGGCGUAAAGGGCGCGUAGGCGGUGCGGUAAGUCACCUGUGAAAUCUCCUGGCUCAACUGGGAGCUUGCAGGCGAAACUGCCGUGCUGGAGUGUGGGAGGGGUGAGUGGAAUUCCCGGUGUAGUGGUGAAAUGCGUAGAGAUCGGGAGGAACACCCGUGGCGAAGGCGGCUCACUGGGCUGACCUUGACGCUGAGGCGCGAAGGCGUGGGGAGCGAACGGGAUUAGAUACCCCGGUAGUCCACGCAGUAAACGAUGCAGACUAGGCGUGGGGGGACUUGACCCCCUCCGUGCCGGAGCUAACGCGGUAAGUCUGCCGCCUGGGGAGUACGGCCGCAAGGCUAAAACUCAAAGGAAUUGACGGGGGCCCGCACAAGCGGCGGAGCGUGCGGUUUAAUUCGACGCAACGCGCAGAACCUUACCAGGGCUUGACAUGCACCUGCAGAGCCGCGAAAGCGGAUGUCCUUCGAGGGUGGUGCACAGGUGCUGCAUGGCUGUCGUCAGCUCGUGUCGUGAGAUGUUGGGUUAAGUCCCGCAACGAGCGCAACCCUCGCGGCCAGUUACGUGGAUGUCUGGCCGGACUGCCGGUAGCAAGCCGGAGGAAGGCGGGGAUGACGUCAAGUCAGCAUGGCCCUUACGUCCUGGGCUACACGCACGCUACAAUGGCGAGGACAAUGGGUAGCCAAACCGCAAGGUGGAGCGAAUCCUCACAAAACCUCGCCUCAGUUCAGAUUGUGGGCUGCAACUCGCCCGCAUGAAGGUGGAGUCGCUAGUAACCGCAGGUCAGCAAUACUGCGGUGAAUACGUUCCCGGGCCUUGUACACACCGCCCGUCACGUCACGAAAGCUGGCAACACCUGAAGCCGGUGGGCCAACCCGUAAGGGAGGCAGCCGUCGAGGGUGGGGCGAGUGAUUGGGACGAAGUCGUAACAAGGUAGCCGUAGCGGAAGC